AUUGAACGCUGGCGGCAUGCUUUACACAUGCAAGUCGAGCGGCAGCGCGGGGGCAACCCUGGCGGCGAGCGGCGAACGGGUGAGUAAUGCAUCGGAACGUAUCCUCGAGUGGGGGAUAACCCAGCGAAAGUUGGGCUAAUACCGCAUGAGCUCUGAGGAGGAAAGCGGGGGACCUGCGAGGGCCUCGCGCUGGAGGAGCGGCCGAUGUCCGAUUAGCUAGUUGGUGGGGUAAAGGCUUACCAAGGCGACGAUCGGUAGCUGGUCUGAGAGGAUGAUCAGCCACACUGGGACUGAGACACGGCCCAGACUCCUACGGGAGGCAGCAGUGGGGAAUUUUGGACAAUGGGGGCAACCCUGAUCCAGCCAUGCCGCGUGAGUGAAGAAGGCCUUCGGGUUGUAAAGCUCUUUCGGACGGAACGAAAUGGGCGGGACUAAUACCCCUGUCUGAUGACGGUACCGUAAGAAGAAGCACCGGCUAACUACGUG
Molecule: ribosomal RNA, 486 nt
Filed under: uncultured bacterium
Lineage: Bacteria
Description: partial 16S ribosomal RNA
Rfam family: Bacterial small subunit ribosomal RNA
Source: RNAcentral